AACAGGAUUAGAUACCCUGGUAGUCCACGCCGUAAACGAUGGGUGCUAGGUGUCGCGGGCUUUGACCCCUGCGGUGCCGUAGCUAACGCAUUAAGCACCCCGCCUGGGGAGUACGGCCGCAAGGCUAAAACUCGAAGGAAUUGACGGGGGCCCGCACAAGCGGUGGAGCAUGUGGUUCAAUUCGACGCAACGCGCAGAACCUUACCUGGGCUAGAAAAUGCAGGAACCUGGUCGAAAGGUCGGGGUGCUCUUCGGAGAACCUGUAGUUAGGUGCUGCAUGGCUGUCGUCAGCUCGUGUCGUGAGAUGUUGGGUUAAGUCCCGCAACGAGCGCAACCCUUGUCGUUAGUUGCCAGCGGUUCGGCCGGGCACUCUAGCGAGACUGCCGAUAUUAAAAUCGGAGGAAGGUGAGGAUGACGUCAAGUCAUCAUGGCCCUUAUGUCCAGGGCUACACACGUGCUACAAUGGUCGGUACAAACGGUUGCGAAGUCGCGAGGCGAAGCUAAUCCGAAAAAACCGACCUCAGUACGGAUAGGAGUCUGCAACUCGACUCCUUGAAGUCGGAAUCGCUAGUAAUCCCUGAUCAGCAGGCAGGGGUGAAUACGUUCCCGGGCCUUGUACACACCGCCCGUCACACCAUGGGAGUCGAUUGCUCCAGAAGUGGGUGCGCCAACCGCAAGGAGGCAGCCCCCCAAGGAGUGGUUGGUAACUGGGGUGAAGUCGUAACAAGGUAACC
Molecule: ribosomal RNA, 734 nt
Filed under: uncultured bacterium
Lineage: Bacteria
Description: bacterial SSU rRNA
Rfam family: Bacterial small subunit ribosomal RNA
Source: RNAcentral